GCUACAGAUGUAGUAAAUACAGACUCACACAGCCUCUCAUCCAGCCCUCAGACAAGGACCUAAACUCACACUAUUACAAUCAAGGACUCCAUCCAUAACUUAAAUCACUGCACCUGGGAUCACGACGGUUCUCUGCCUUACUACUAUGGCUGUUCCAGGUAUGGUGGAAAUUACUCACCUGAAGGACCAUAAAGAUGUACUUGUGGCUUGCUGAGGGGAAAUCUGAAAAUCACUUUCUUUUUGAAUUUGUUGUUUUUAAAUGGAAUUCAUUAAUUCUUUUGCCUCACUGUCACACUGGGAAACUGAUGGUCCAAUUUCUUUGUGCUCACUGAUUCACACCACAACUUCAGCAGCAACAGAUGAGCUCAGCAACAGCAUCACUGAAGUCACCACAAGUAUUUCAUGAGUAUGGCUUAAAU
Molecule: long non-coding RNA, 419 nt
Filed under: Athene cunicularia (burrowing owl)
Lineage: Eukaryota; Metazoa; Chordata; Aves; Strigiformes; Strigidae
Description: lncRNA (ENSACUG00000008712.1)
Source: RNAcentral